Molecule: long non-coding RNA, 475 nt
Organism: Myotis brandtii (Brandt's bat)
Lineage: Eukaryota; Metazoa; Chordata; Mammalia; Chiroptera; Vespertilionidae
Exons: 4
Source: RefSeq, a predicted model, not a curated record
CCAAGAAGGUCGGAGCUGGAUACUGGGGUUUCCUCUCCUGAUCUGGGGCAAGCCACCAAUUUCACACGAAGGGGCACCUGUUCCAGAGCUGAACAAGCACCUGGAUGGAGCCAGAGAACUCUGGAAGGCUGGUCAUAAAGAAUAAGCUUCGACUCCUUUUCAAAUGUCUACUUUUGGACUCCUUCAACGUCUUCAAGAAAUGUGGACUUCUGUUCAAGAUGGCAGAUCCCUUGAGUAGAAUCCUCUUUUAACAACAACAAAACACACCUUGUGAGCAGCCACACUACAGUGAACAACAAAAGUUGAGCUGCUAUGAUUACAGUGGGGGCUGGGUCUGGUUGGAGCGAGAGGCUGCCCAUCCUAUGUGACCUUUCUCUUUCUUCUCUUCCUGCUUUACAGUGGCUCCUGAAUACCUCAGCAGAACUCGUGGCCUCUCUGUGACAUGACUGAAUAAAAAGGAAUGUACCAAAACUCA